Long non-coding RNA from Carcharodon carcharias (great white shark), 308 nucleotides. RefSeq lists it as uncharacterized. The transcript has 3 exons. Lineage: Eukaryota; Metazoa; Chordata; Chondrichthyes; Lamniformes; Lamnidae. The record is from RefSeq and is a predicted model, not a curated record.
UGAUAGUUCUGCUCCUCAAGCAGCCACUGACUAAACAGGCCCUCUGCUAAUUGCUCCAUCCCAAAGAAACAUUCAGGACCAACGUGACCCAAGAUAAACAUUUGGAUCAAGGGAGAAAUCCAUCAAAAUAUAUUCUUGCUGAUAGUCUACGAUUAAACAUGAAUCAAAAUACUGGACAUCACAACUGAAAUUGUAUGAAAGUGGAAUCAAACUCAAGAUGAAAAGUCUUCCCAAGCCAUGUACAAUCUGCAGUUGGGUGUGUGGAAGAAUGAUUGAACCAGCUACAAGAAUGUCCCAAGGAUAACAUC